CCAGGUGUUCUUCAAAUUACAAUUACCGGAUCGCCGACGACGCCAUAUACCGUUCGCUUCAUUUCUUUCAUUUCGCUUUUUUGUUUUCGGUUUUCCUUUUCAUUUAUGAAAAUUCUUCAAGAAACUGGAAAUAUCUUCCGGCGCUAAAGUGGGCGGUACGGGUAGAACAAAGCAGAAAAAGGGCUCUGCUCGAAUGAAUCUUUUCUUUUCGUACCCUUACUUUUACCUCCACUACUAAACACUCACAGCACCACCUCAAUUAUUUCCGUUUCAAAUUUUCAUGUGGACCCGUGAGCACCGGGGGAUUGGUGAAGUGGUGUGUGCACGUAUUCUUUGCUUGGCUAGAAGUUUUGAGAUUUUUUGGAAAAAUUUUUACGUCAUAUUUUAAGUCUGCAGUUUUUUUUUUCUAAGGUGGUGUAGUCGGAAGUUUUUAUUGCUUCAUUAGACUCAAAAUUGUCUGAAGACACCGAAUUUCAUGAUGAAACUUCUUGAAAACUUUUUGAAAAAAAGUUAUGGCGGCUCAAAAAAUGACCCAAAAUUAAUCAAAAUUUUAAAUUCGACCGACUAUUAAGCGGCUGGAAACUAACUUUUUUGAAACCACCGUCUAAUUUUGGGUUUACAAGUCAAAUAUCUUCUUUUGUUUAAGAAGUUUUCAAGAAGUAUAUGAAUGUUGGUGUUUUCAGACCACUUACUAUUAGAGUCUAAUGAAGCAAUAAAAAAGUUUCGACUACAGAGCCUUUGAUAGAACUUUUAAAAACAAUUUUUUUAUGGGUUAAAUUACUUAAAACUCGCCUAGAAAUUAGUGUUUAAAGGUGGAGUAGCGCCAGUGGGGAAAUUGUUAAAAGUCACUCCUUUGGUCCCAAAAUGACCAAUUAUCAUGAUAAAACUCUUCAAAAAAUUUUUGAAAAUUUUUUUUUAUUUU
Molecule: long non-coding RNA, 922 nt
Organism: Caenorhabditis elegans
Lineage: Eukaryota; Metazoa; Nematoda; Chromadorea; Rhabditida; Rhabditidae
Gene: linc-160
Product: ncRNA
Source: Ensembl